This is a long non-coding RNA of Pristis pectinata (smalltooth sawfish), 684 nucleotides long. RefSeq lists it as uncharacterized. The record is from RefSeq and is a predicted model, not a curated record. Lineage: Eukaryota; Metazoa; Chordata; Chondrichthyes; Rhinopristiformes; Pristidae. The transcript has 3 exons.
GUCGGCCACCCACUGCCUUGCCGCCAGAACUGGAGGCGGGAGUGGAGGCUGCGGCUGGUCGGCCACCAGCUGCCAUGUCGGAGGCGAGAGAGCUGGCCGAGGCUGUGCAGGAGUUGAACACUGAGCUGGCAAGGUUCCAAGAGAACAUGCAGAAGGUCACCGAGUUCCAGGGCUCCCUCCUCCGUGUCAAUAAAAUGAUGUGUUUCUGGAUGGAGAAUACACAAGAGUUAAUAAAGCAUCGCAAACUGAUGAGUCAGCCACCCCCUACCUUGAAUCAGCUCAGGAAAUGAUGCCAACAGUAUUCAGGGGCUCUCUCCCAUCCAGAACUCUUCCACCUGGGCCUGUCUGAAGAUCCUAACUUGUUCUGUUUUCCUGUUGCUGUUUUCCCAACUGUUGAGUUCUCUACUGGGAAAGAUACUCUGCCCAGUCCCUCUUCCUGAGCCAUGCCGGGUGGGAGGUGCACUGCUUUCCCCGUGGACUCCCCUCAGGAGUGCUGGCGAGUGCAGAGAUCCAUCGCCGGACUCCAGGACAGCUCAAGCAGCUGCAGACAAAACCAGCUGAAACCAAACCCUUCGAACAGCUCAUCACAUUUGCAGGCUUCCUUUUGACCUGGUGUCGAGGGUCUAUCUGUGAGCUCUCAAAGGCACUGUCUCUUACUCAAAUAAACAGAGCACUAUCUCUUUC